GUAUCUCUCCUCCCCUCUCAGCCCAGUGUUCAGCUUGCUGUUGACAUUGCUGCCUGCUUAAUUUGUUCUCAUGACUUCCUUUCUCUUAACAAAUGUUUCUUGUCUCAUCUCUACCUCUUUCUUAAUAAUGCUUAAUAAUCUCCCUCCCUCGCCCCUCUCUCUCCCCAUCCCCCUCCCUGUGUUCUCCUGUGGUGUUCAGUCCUUGCUAGCUCCAGUAAAAGUCCAGUAGGUAUGGACGACGCGGCAGUGCCAUAGGGAUAGGCACCAUUGAAGAGUCUCUGAUCAUCCCAGGGAGGAGUCCCACCAGGAAGAAGUCUGGUCCCUUCAGCUCCCGCAGGAGCAGCGCUAUCGGCAUCGAGAACAUCCAGGAGGUCCAAGAGAGGAGUCGUGAGGUGUCCCCCAGCGCUCAGAAGACCCCAGAC
Molecule: long non-coding RNA, 422 nt
Organism: Osmerus eperlanus (European smelt)
Lineage: Eukaryota; Metazoa; Chordata; Actinopteri; Osmeriformes; Osmeridae
Exons: 3
Source: RefSeq, a predicted model, not a curated record